RNAcentral lists this unclassified non-coding RNA (336 nucleotides) under soil metagenome. RNAcentral's name for it is "partial contains 5.8S ribosomal RNA, internal transcribed spacer 2, and large subunit ribosomal RNA". The stretch from base 1 to 120 matches the Rfam family "5.8S ribosomal RNA", at positions 35 to 154 of the family's 154-position model. The record is from RNAcentral.
GAUGAAGAACGCAGCGAAAUGCGAUAAGUAAUGUGAAUUGCAGAAUUCAGUGAAUCAUCGAAUCUUUGAACGCGCAUUGCGCCCGCCAGUAUUCUGGCGGGCAUGCCUGUUCGAGCGUCAUUUCAACCAUCAAGCCCCCGGCUUGUGUUGGGGACCUGCGGCUGCCGCAGGCCCUGAAAAGCAGUGGCGGGCUCGCUGUCACACCGAGCGUAGUAGCAUACAUCUCGCUCUGGGCGUGCUGCGGGUUCCGGCCGUUAAACCACCUUCAUAACCCAAGGUUGACCUCGGAUCAGGUAGGAAGACCCGCUGAACUUAAACAUAUCAAUAAGCGGAGGA